GCCCAUAGGUCUCGUUGGUGACCAGCGGAGGGUCAUUACCGAGUUUACAACUCCCAAACCCCUGUGAACAUACCUUAUGUUGCCUCGGCGGAUCAGCCCGCGCCCCGUAAAAAGGGACGGCCCGCCGCAGGAACCCUAAACUCUGUUUUUAGUGGAACUUCUGAGUAUAAAAAACAAAUAAAUCAAAACUUUCAACAACGGAUCUCUUGGUUCUGGCAUCGAUGAAGAACGCAGCAAAAUGCGAUAAGUAAUGUGAAUUGCAGAAUUCAGUGAAUCAUCGAAUCUUUGAACGCACAUUGCGCCCGCCAGUAUUCUGGCGGGCAUGCCUGUUCGAGCGUCAUUUCAACCCUCAAGCCCAGCUUGGUGUUGGGAGCUGCAGUCCUGCUGCACUCCCCAAAUACAUUGGCGGUCACGUCGAGCUUCCAUAGCGUAGUAAUUUACACAUCGUUACUGGUAAUCGUCGCGGCCACGCCGUUAAACCCCAACUUCUGAAUGUUGACCUCGGAUCAGGUAGGAAUACCCGCUGAACUUAAGCAUAUCAAUAAGCGGAGGAAG
This 555-nucleotide ribosomal RNA is filed under the name Fusarium graminearum. RNAcentral describes it as "eukaryotic LSU rRNA". The stretch from base 187 to 340 matches the Rfam family "5.8S ribosomal RNA". The record is from RNAcentral. Lineage: Eukaryota; Fungi; Ascomycota; Sordariomycetes; Hypocreales; Nectriaceae.